This 569-nucleotide long non-coding RNA is filed under the name Mytilus galloprovincialis (Mediterranean mussel). Lineage: Eukaryota; Metazoa; Mollusca; Bivalvia; Mytilida; Mytilidae. The record is from RNAcentral.
GGAAAAUAUAAUUACAGAUUGCUUUCGUUUUGCAAGCAAAAUUAACAUUAAACAUUGAACUGUAUUUAAUAAGCAAUGAAACAUGUUAAAAUAUAUAUAAUAUACCAUAUACAAUUUGUAUUGCAUUUAUCUUCUUUGGUUCAUUAUUCAUUGUUUAGUUGAACCUAUUUGUAUAGCUGAUUAAUACACCAUGCCAACUUUCGUUAAUUUAAAUGAAACAGUUUUCUUAACAAGUAUGAUUAUUUAAUUUUAAGUAUAAUAUAUCACUAAUAUGUUGCAUAAUAAAAUUCUUUGCCUAAAUAUCAUCUGAAGAAAGUUCACCUGACUUCACUGUAGUGUUUAAAUUAUCAAAAGAAGUGAUAAAACCUUGAAGAUAUAGAGAAUAAACCUGUUACAUAAGGUUUUGACUGUAUUGCAUGCAAUAUUUACCUUAAAAACAAUUUGUGAGUACCAAAAGCAAAACUGUCUUAUAAUUGGCAGCCUUAUUACAUUAAUGAAAUGUUUUACAACUUUUUGCAUUACAUUUUUCUGAAAACCAGAAACCAAAGUUUUAGUCAUAAGACAAACUU